CCUACGGGCGGCUGCAGUGGGGAAUAUUGCACAAUGGGGGAAACCCUGAUGCAGCGACGCCGCGUGAAGGAAGAAGUAUUUCGGUAUGUAAACUUCUAUUAGCAGGGAAGAAAAUGACGGUACCUGACUAAGAAGCCCCGGCUAACUACGUGCCAGCAGCCGCGGUAAUACGUAGGGGGCAAGCGUUAUUCGGAUUUACUGGGUGUAAAGGGAGCGUAGGCGGUGCAGCAAGUCAGAAGUGAAAGCCCGGGGCUCAACUCCGGGACUGCAUUUGAAACUGUUGAACUAGAGUGCAAGAGAGGUAAGUGGAAUUCCUAGUGUAGCGGUGAAAUGCGUAGAUAUUAGGAGGAACACCAGUGGCGAAGGCGGCUUACUGGACUGUAAAUGACGCUGAGGCUCGAAAGCGUGGGGAGCAAACAGGAUUAGAUACCCGAGUAGUC
This 440-nucleotide ribosomal RNA is filed under the name uncultured bacterium. RNAcentral describes it as "partial 16S ribosomal RNA". It matches the Rfam family "Bacterial small subunit ribosomal RNA", at positions 338 to 795 of the family's 1533-position model. The record is from RNAcentral.